Molecule: ribosomal RNA, 233 nt
Filed under: Sycophila sp. JYR-1998
Lineage: Eukaryota; Metazoa; Arthropoda; Insecta; Hymenoptera; Eurytomidae
Description: partial 28S rRNA
Rfam family: Eukaryotic large subunit ribosomal RNA
Source: RNAcentral
UACUAAGCGGAGGAAAAGAAACUAACAAGGAUUUCCUUAGUAGCGGCGAGCGAACAGGAAUGAGCCCAGCACUGAAUCCCGCGGUUCUGCCGCCGGGAAAUGUAGUGUUCGGGAGGAUCCAAUUAACCCUCGGCGUCGGACCGCGUCCAAGUCCAUCUUGAAUGGGGCAACUUACCCGUAGAGGGUGCCAGGCCCGUAGCGACCGGGACGCGUCGAGGGUGGAUCUCUCCUUA